ACUCCUACGGGAGGCAGCAGUGGGGAAUUUUGGACACUGGGCGAAAGCCUGAUCCAGCAAUGCCGCGUGAGUGAAGAAGGCCUUCGGGUUGUAAAGCUCUUUUGUCAGGGAAGAAACGGUGAAAGCUAAUAUCUUUUGCUAAUGACGGUACCUGAAGAAUAAGCACCGGCUAACUACGUGCCAGCAGCCGCGGUAAUACGUAGGGUGCAAGCGUUAAUCGGAAUUACUGGGCGUAAAGCGUGCGCAGGCGGUUUUGUAAGUCUGAUGUGAAAUCCCCGGGCUCAACCUGGGAAUUGCAUUGGAGACUGCAAGGCUAGAAUCUGGCAGAGGGGGGUAGAAUUCCACGUGUAGCAGUGAAAUGCGUAGAUAUGUGGAGGAACACCGAUGGCGAAGGCAGCCCCCUGGGUCAAGAUUGACGCUCAUGCACGAAAGCGUGGGGAGCAAACAGGAUUAGAUACCCCUGUAGUCCCA
RNAcentral lists this ribosomal RNA (471 nucleotides) under uncultured organism. Its description in RNAcentral is "partial 16S ribosomal RNA". It matches the Rfam family "Bacterial small subunit ribosomal RNA", at positions 335 to 797 of the family's 1533-position model. The record is from RNAcentral.